CAUUUUAGCCUUUGCGCUCUCACGUUUUGACCAGUCUACGCUCAUAUUAUUCUUAACAGUUUUUGUUAAUUCAUGUGCAAUAGCCCUUAAUUCUUUAUCAUCCAUCGCUUCUUUUGCUGUUUCAUGUGAAGCUAAUGCAUCAUAAAAUGCAAUUUCUUCAGUACUUAAACCUAAUUCUUUUCCUCUUUCUUUUCUUGAUUUAUUUCUUUCGCCAUUUGAAUUAAUUCUUCUAUGACUUUUGAUGCUUCAAUAGAACGGUUAUUAUAUUUUUGUAUUGAUUUACUUAGCAUCUCAGAAAACCUUUUAGAUACAGUAGUAUUAGUUUUCAUUAAUGACUUAACUUGUCCUUUGAGUAAUUUGUUCAACAUUCAACUGCAACAUUUUUUUGUUUCAUUCCUUCGACAUCUUUUAGGAAGUCAUCUGAUAGGAUUGAUAAAUCGG
This 441-nucleotide small RNA is filed under the name Staphylococcus aureus. RNAcentral describes it as "Transcript". The record is from RNAcentral. Lineage: Bacteria; Bacillati; Bacillota; Bacilli; Caryophanales; Staphylococcaceae.